CUUCUUUUUCCACCGGAGCUUGCUCCACCGGAAAAAGAGGAGUGGCGAACGGGUGAGUAACACGUGGGUAACCUGCCCAUCAGAAGGGGAUAACACUUGGAAACAGGUGCUAAUACCGUAUAACAAUCGAAACCGCAUGGUUUUGAUUUGAAAGGCGCUUUCGGGUGUCGCUGAUGGAUGGACCCGCGGUGCAUUAGCUAGUUGGUGAGGUAACGGCUCACCAAGGCCACGAUGCAUAGCCGACCUGAGAGGGUGAUCGGCCACAUUGGGACUGAGACACGGCCCAAACUCCUACGGGAGGCAGCAGUAGGGAAUCUUCGGCAAUGGACGAAAGUCUGACCGAGCAACGCCGCGUGAGUGAAGAAGGUUUUCGGAUCGUAAAACUCUGUUGUUAGAGAAGAACAAGGAUGAGAGUAACUGUUCAUCCCUUGACGGUAUCUAACCAGAAAGCCACGGCUAACUACGUGCCAGCAGCCGCGGUAAUACGUAGGUGGCAAGCGUUGUCCGGAUUUAUUGGGCGUAAAGCGAGCGCAGGCGGUUUCUUAAGUCUGAUGUGAAAGCCCCCGGCUCAACCGGGGAGGGUCAUUGGAAACUGGGAGACUUGAGUGCAGAAGAGGAGAGUGGAAUUCCAUGUGUAGCGGUGAAAUGCGUAGAUAUAUGGAGGACACCAGUGGCGAAGCGGCUCUCUGGCUGUACUGACGCUGAGCUCGAAGCGU
RNAcentral lists this ribosomal RNA (716 nucleotides) under uncultured bacterium. RNAcentral describes it as "bacterial SSU rRNA". It matches the Rfam family "Bacterial small subunit ribosomal RNA", at positions 69 to 762 of the family's 1533-position model. The record is from RNAcentral.